GCAGGUUUGGAUUUAUAGUAGGCCUGUCCUCCUGGGUCUUUCACGGAGUCCCAUGCCAGAGCAAACUGAGUUUGAGCCAUUAUCUGGCCUCUGUGAUCAUAGGCUGCUGACACUGAAACAGGUUGCAUAGUG
Small nucleolar RNA from Ictidomys tridecemlineatus (thirteen-lined ground squirrel), 132 nucleotides. Lineage: Eukaryota; Metazoa; Chordata; Mammalia; Rodentia; Sciuridae. The record is from Ensembl.